This 459-nucleotide small RNA is filed under the name Pan troglodytes (chimpanzee). RNAcentral's name for it is "processed transcript". The record is from RNAcentral. Lineage: Eukaryota; Metazoa; Chordata; Mammalia; Primates; Hominidae.
GGGGGCGCCGAGGUGACAGCAGGCUGGGGAGGCUUGGAGGGAUCUCCCGCCAACACACAGCCACGUUCUCCACAAACUUAGCGUCACGCGUGGAGGCGCCGACCCCCUCGGAGGCACAGAGAGGACGGCCGCACUUCCAAGAGUCGCUUGGCGCCCGCGGGGAGAGUCGUGCGCCUAGUGGGCACGCACCACCCCGCAAAGCCUCGCCGCCCCGACGAGGCUGCGUCCCCCAGUGUGGCUGGGCCGGGGUGGGGGGGUCUGUCUUCUCUUUUUCCCCGUGUGGACCUCAGGACCUGGACGCUGCCCCCAGGUGACCAGAAGUCAGCAGCUUCCCAGAAGCCCCGAAGCCGGGGCAUCCUCCACUCACUCUUCUGCUGUGUCUGCCGGGAUGAUGGGGAGGCCCUGCCUGCUCACAGCGGGGCGCCCCUGCUUGUGGAGGAGAAUGGCGCCAUCCCUAAG